RNAcentral lists this unclassified non-coding RNA (1091 nucleotides) under uncultured fungus. RNAcentral describes it as "sequence contains ITS1, ITS2". Lineage: Eukaryota; Fungi. The record is from RNAcentral.
GGCCGCAUCCUUGCGAUGCGCGACCUCAGUCCGCCCCAGGGUAUUACGCAACGGGCUAUAACACUCCCCGAAGAGAGCCACAUUCCCGAAGUCUUUAUCCCCCAGGGAAAACUGAUGCUGGCCUGGACUGGAAAAGUGCACUGGGGAGAACCCCGGAUGAUUAACCAAGCCCAAGUCUGGUCAUAAACGCUUCCCUUUCAACAAUUUCACGUACUGUUUAACUCUCUUUUCAAAGUGCUUUUCAUCUUUCGAUCACUCUACUUGUGCGCUAUCGGUCUCUGGCCGGUAUUUAGCUUUAGAAGACAUAUACCUCCCAUUUAGAGCAGCAUUCCCAAACUACUCGACUCGUCGAAGGAACUUUACAGAGAAUUGGCGUCCAACCAGACGGGGCUCUCACCCUCUAUGGCGUCCCGUUCCAGGGAACUCGGAAGGCACCGCAUCAAAAGUAUCCUCUACAAAUUACAACUCGGGCCCGAGAGCCAGAUUUCAAAUUUGAGCUGUUGCCGCUUCACUCGCCGUUACUAGGGCAAUCCCUGUUGGUUUCUUUUCCUCCGCUUAUUGAUAUGCUUAAGUUCAGCGGGUAUUCCUACCUGAUCCGAGGUCAACAUUCAGAAGUUGGGGGUUUAACGGCUUGGCCGCGCCGCGCACCAGUUGCGAGGGGUUUACUACUACGCAAUGGAAGCUGCAGCGAGACCGCCAUAGAUUUCGGGGACGGCUUGCCGCAAGGGCUCGCCGAUCCCCAACACCAAACCCGGGGGCUUGAGGGUUGAAAUGACGCUCGAACAGGCAUGCCCGCCAGAAUACUGGCGGGCGCAAUGUGCGUUCAAAGAUUCGAUGAUUCACUGAAUUCUGCAAUUCACAUUACUUAUCGCAUUUUGCUGCGUUCUUCAUCGAUGCCAGAACCAAGAGAUCCGUUGUUGAAAGUUUUAUUUAUUUAUGGGUUUACUCCGAAAUUACAUAUAGAAACAGAGAUUAGGGGUCCUCUGGGGGGGCGUCCCGUUUUACCGCGAGCGGGCUGAUCCGCCGAGACAACAAUUGUUAUGUUCCAAGGGGUUUGGGAGUUGUAAACUCCGUAAUGAUCCUCCGCAGUU